This is a long non-coding RNA of Notolabrus celidotus (New Zealand spotty), 1563 nucleotides long. RefSeq lists it as uncharacterized. NCBI's taxonomy places the organism in Eukaryota, Metazoa, Chordata, Actinopteri, Labriformes, Labridae. The record is from RefSeq and is a predicted model, not a curated record. The transcript has 5 exons.
CAACUCAGUAUGAAUGGUGGAGCGCCAGAAGGACUGCUCUUAUGCAGAAAUGACAAAAGUUGGGAAGAGAAACAGAGACAGAGACAGAGGGAGAGGGCGGGCAAAUACUUUGCUGUGUGUUCAGUGAAUUUUAGUCCCGCAGUGCAGAACUUUGAAAGUGAUCAAAUGUGCCCGUGCCAAAUACUGGUGCAAACGCGCGCCUUGCAAAAGUUGGCGGAGCUGAAAGAGACGGAAAAGACGUGCACAGUUUGCUCCUGGCUGUCAGUGAUGUGGGCUCUUUUCAUUUUCUGUUUCUCUGCCCUUCUCUAAAUCUCCUUUCCUUUUUGUAACCUCUUUUCUCUUGAUUCAACCCUGACCUUUGGGGGUAACUAAGUGUGUGUGUUAGUGUGUCUGUGUGAGCAGCACACUCAGCAAUGUGUGUGGGAAGAUAACUGGCUUCCUUCAGCGUGAUUAAAACAUUCCUUCUCUCUUCUUUUUCCUCUCUCCUCUCUCCUCCCUCUCUCUCUCUGCCCUUCUUAGUCGUCAGUGAAGACUUUCUGAUGAAGAGGAGGAUGAAGACAGACUAACUGGUCCUCUGGAACCAAUGAGUAUUUUGACAACUCUAUCCUCUGGAAGCUGGACAACUCCAAAGCAGUGUCCUGAACAAUAGGGGGAACUCCAGUCAGUAACUCCAGUCAUCCAUGAAAAGAUGAUUCAUAAAAUGAGGCUAAGGCUCAGGACCAUUGAUUUCCAUUACAUUCAUCCAUCCUGACAACAGGGUGGGAGAUCAUCAAACCAAAGCUCAUGUAUAUGCUAAGAUGUUGCUGAGUCACAUUGGGAUCUCGACAUCAUCAUCAUGGGACGGGGAGGCUGGUGAGCAGUGACCACAGGCAGCGGCAGGAGAGGCGAUGCCUUUGUUUUAUGGUUUGCAGCUGCUGGUACUUGGCAAAAGAAGUUACCCCGGUGGAGUUGCUUCAGCAAAUAAUUUUCUGAAAUGUUGAAAGAAAAAAAAAUAGAGAAAGCUUGAGGCUAGAUUUUUAUUGUCACUCUGCCCCAAAUGAGCAUUAAACACCUGCUUGAGGUUGGUAGCGGGUUGAGGUUUUUUCUGGCUUUACAAACUGUUUUCCGGCUUGUGGGCUGAUAAAGAUGCAAAGAGUCCACACACAGUCAUGUUAUGCUGACACUGUUGAAAUCCCAGCAAGUGGUGCAUGCAGCAAAAACACACAAGUACAGGACUACUUCCCCUUUGAAGUCAUUGGCUUUUUUAUUUAUGGUAACAAAGUUAAUUUCUAUACCAUAGAGAGAAGUUAGAAAACUACCAGGAAGUGCUGAUGCGGGGCCCUUUCUCUCUGGACCGCAACACUUUGUUUUCAAAGAUAAUUUUAUAAAACGUCAAGCAUUGACAUACAUUUCUAUUUCUUCUGAUUUUAGCAGGCAUAAAAGGACUUUCAUUGACUUUUACAAAUGUACAACUGUUUUUACUCAUUUUGUUCUGCUGUUUUUCUGUUGUCAGCAUUUCUCUCACCUUGUAACUGGUCUGUUUGAGUACUUUUAAUGAUUACCAGUAAAUAAUUUUGAACUUUC